This is an RNA transcript of Gopherus flavomarginatus (Mexican gopher tortoise), 1257 nucleotides long. It is a transcript of the gene named centrin 2, with no coding region annotated. The transcript has 8 exons. Lineage: Eukaryota; Metazoa; Chordata; Testudines; Testudinidae. The record is from RefSeq and is a predicted model, not a curated record.
AUGGCACCGGGGUAGAACUAUUGGCUCAUGGGGAAGGCUGCCGUUGAUACAGUGCCCGCCCCUUUUUUCCUGUUCGGAGCGGAGGCGCUGCUCCAGCACAUCAGCCUGCGGGAUGGCUUCCAGCUUCAAGAAAUCUACAUUAGGGGCAGUAGCCCAGAGGAAGAAGACAGGUCCUAAACUUGAACUAACUGAAGACCAGAAGCAGGAGAUCCGAGAGGCUUUUGAUCUGUUUGAUACCGAUGGCACUGGGAACAUAGAUGUUAAGGAGCUAAAGCUCCCUCUUCUGCUUCUCCAGUUUAAACCCUGCCACACUCAGAGGACCAUGCAGAAAGGCAACCUCAUGGCAGGAGGGAUAGCUCAGUGGUUUGAGCAUUGGCCUGCUAAACCCAGGGUUGUGGCCAUGAGAGCACUAGGGUUUGAACCCAAAAAAGAAGAGAUCAAGAAAAUGAUAUCAGACAUUGAUAAGGAAGGAACAGGAAAGAUCAGCUUCAAUGAUUUUCUGGUGGUGAUGACUCAAAAGAUGGCUGAAAAAGAUUCCAAAGAGGAGAUUCUAAAAGCCUUCAAACUAUUUGAUGAUGAUGAAACUGGCAAAAUCUCUUUCAAAAACCUUAAACGUGUGGCCAAGGAACUUGGGGAAAAUCUCACAGAUGAGGAGCUACAGGAAAUGAUUGAUGAAGCAGAUCGAGAUGGAGAUGGGGAAGUGAAUGAGCAGGAAUUCCUGAGGAUCAUGAAGAAGACCAGUCUUUACUGAUAUGUUUGUUGUGGAUUUUCUUUUUAUACAGUUGGAAAUAUAUUUGACCUCCUCAGAUGUUGGUGGGUUGGCAAGAGUUUCCCAGGGAUGGAGUUGUCACUCACAGUUGAGUCUCAAUUUAAAAGCUUUUGGUAGUGUUCCAUCCAGUGCUCUUUGAUGGAUUCGUUAUCUUUAAGAAAGGAAUGUACCUGUUGGACAAUCAAAGGAGUUGCUCCAUUUCUACGGACCCCAAAUCAGAAUUCAACAUAUAUAUUUUAUACUAAUAACAUUUUAUUAAUUUAUUAAUUAAAUGUUAACUUGCUAACUUGAGACCAUGGGCGGAGACAUUAUGUAACCAUUUAACCAUUGGCUAAUGUGCUAUCUUGUCUUGCUGCAAAAUCUAUCCCGGGGUGUGGAACUGCCUACUCCGUCAUUUUCCCCCACACAUGGAAAACCUAUAUAUUCUAUUGUAAUCAAUUGAUUGACAGUGUCUCUGAGCCUAAUAAACAAGGUGACACUUCGCCUGC